UUUGAAGUCGAUUACUACUCCAGCUGC
RNAcentral lists this non-coding RNA (27 nucleotides) under Bombyx mori (domestic silkworm). The record is from RNAcentral. Lineage: Eukaryota; Metazoa; Arthropoda; Insecta; Lepidoptera; Bombycidae.